RNAcentral lists this transfer RNA (87 nucleotides) under Alkalitalea saponilacus. Its description in RNAcentral is "tRNA-Leu". It matches the Rfam family "tRNA". Rfam says of the family: Transfer RNA (tRNA) molecules are approximately 80 nucleotides in length. Lineage: Bacteria; Pseudomonadati; Bacteroidota; Bacteroidia; Marinilabiliales; Marinilabiliaceae. The record is from RNAcentral.
GCCCGGAUGGCGGAAUUGGUAGACGCGCUGGUCUCAAACACCAGUGACAGCAAUGUCGUGCCGGUUCGACCCCGGCUCCGGGUACAA